AGUGAACGCUGGCGGUAGGCCUAACACAUGCAAGUCGAACGGCAGCACAGUAAGAGCUUGCUCUUACGGGUGGCGAGUGGCGGACGGGUGAGGAAUACAUCGGAAUCUACUUUUUCGUGGGGGAUAACGUAGGGAAACUUACGCUAAUACCGCAUACGACCUACGGGUGAAAGCAGGGGAUCUUCGGACCUUGCGCGAUUGAAUGAGCCGAUGUCGGAUUAGCUAGUUGGCGGGGUAAGGGCCCACCAAGGCGACGAUCCGUAGCUGGUCUGAGAGGAUGAUCAGCCACACUGGAACUGAGACACGGUCCAGACUCCUACGGGAGGCAGCAGUGGGGAAUAUUGGGCAAUGGGCGCAAGCCUGAUCCAGCCAUACCGCGUGGGUGAAGAAGGCCUUCGGGUUGUAAAGCCCUUUUGUUGGGAAAGAAAAGCAGCAGGUUAAUACCCCGCUGUUCCGACGGUACCCAAAGAAUAAGCACCGGCUAACUUCGUG
RNAcentral lists this ribosomal RNA (492 nucleotides) under uncultured bacterium. Its description in RNAcentral is "partial 16S ribosomal RNA". It matches the Rfam family "Bacterial small subunit ribosomal RNA", at positions 29 to 507 of the family's 1533-position model. The record is from RNAcentral.